ACGGGUGAGUAACGCGUGGGAAUCUACCUAGUUCUACGGAACAACAGAGGGAAACUUCUGCUAAUACCGUAUACGCCCUACGGGGGAAAGAUUUAUCGGAAUUAGAUGAGCCCGCGUAAGAUUAGCUAGUUGGUGGGGUAAUGGCCUACCAAGGCGACGAUCUUUAGCUGGUCUGAGAGGAUGAUCAGCCACACUGGGACUGAGACACGGCCCAGACUCCUACGGGAGGCAGCAGUGGGGAAUAUUGGACAAUGGGCGCAAGCCUGAUCCAGCCAUGCCGCGUGAGUGAUGAAGGCCUUAGGGUUGUAAAGCUCUUUCAGUGGGGAAGAUAAUGACGGUACCCACAGAAGAAGCCCCGGCUAACUUCGUGCCAGCAGCCGCGGUAAUACGAAGGGGGCUAGCGUUGUUCGGAUUUACUGGGCGUAAAGCGCACGUAGGCGGAUUGGUCAGUUAGAGGUGAAAUCCCGAAGCUCAACUUCGGAACUGCCUUUAAUACUGCCAAUCUAGAGUCCGGAAGAGGUGAGUGGGAACUCCUAGUGUAGAGGUGGAAUUCGUAGA
This 558-nucleotide ribosomal RNA is filed under the name Devosia sp. HRTP009. RNAcentral's name for it is "bacterial SSU rRNA". It matches the Rfam family "Bacterial small subunit ribosomal RNA", at positions 102 to 694 of the family's 1533-position model. Lineage: Bacteria; Pseudomonadati; Pseudomonadota; Alphaproteobacteria; Hyphomicrobiales; Devosiaceae. RNAcentral also lists the same sequence under 1 other name. The record is from RNAcentral.